AAUGAUGUUUUGACUCUUCGUCUUAUUUGAAAUUUUUUUGCGAUUAAUAUUUUUAUUUUUACUAGUACUUUAUGCGUGACUAAUUUUUUAAAGUUUUUUUUACAAAUUUUUCAAAUAAGACGAAUGGUCAAACGUUAAACACGGAAAAACA
This 151-nucleotide microRNA precursor is filed under the name Oryza brachyantha (malo sina). Its description in RNAcentral is "MIR812 microRNA precursor family". It matches the Rfam family "MIR812 microRNA precursor family", at positions 27 to 191 of the family's 205-position model. Lineage: Eukaryota; Viridiplantae; Streptophyta; Magnoliopsida; Poales; Poaceae. The record is from Rfam by way of RNAcentral.